AGAAAAUGGGUUAUUUCCUUCUUACUUUUUCAUUAAGGCAGUUUACAAUGAAGAAGACAAAAAUUACCCUAUAAAGAAAGAGAGAGAGAGAGAGAGGGAUAUGCAUGCAUCUUUUGCAGAAAAAGGGUAUGAUUGAUUUCAAGAUCUCACCCAAACCAUACACUAGAAAGAGGUAUGUAUUCUUUUUUUCAUUUAAAAUUUAGAAUUUUUUCUAUAUAUACCACACACAAUCAUAUGUUUGUGAUGGUUGUAUCUGCUCUUACAUAUGUUUGCUUUGGCUUUCCUAUGCUUGUUAUUUGCUCUUAAUUAUUUCUGUUCGUGCCAAAAUAACGCAUGCACACACCAUAGAGAAAUAAACAACAUAUCUAGUAAAAUCCCACAAACAGAAUCUCGAAUGGGUAGUGUAUACGCAGACCUUACCUCUUCCUUUGAAAAGAAGGAGAGGCUGUUUCUAAUAGACCCUCGGCUAUCAGAGAGAAAUAAAAAAGAUAUUUAAAGGAAUACCCUAGAGCCUGGCAAAAUGUUCAAUGCUUGAAUAAAAUCAGGGACAAGCAGAAAGAGAGAGCAUUGUAUUUAUACCACUAUAUGAAGAAACAUCUUACAGAAAAUACUAUAAAAGCUUGAGCAGCUGUUAACUGCACGGGGAGAAGGGGGGGGGUGGGGGCUUUUUUUUACAAUUAAACAAUAGACUUGAUAUACUCAUAACCUAAAAUGACCUUAAAAGAAUGAAACCAUCCCCAUAAAUUUGCUAUAAAAAUAGCAGAAAUCAGGAGGGGGUUGGGGGUUUUGGGGGUAGGUAUAAAUAUAAAGAUAUAUAUGCCUUCGACGACGGGGUCCAGCAGCUAUGUACACAAAUUAAUGACUAGAUACGAUAUAGGGUAAGCAAAUCUACCACCAAAAAAGGGGGAAAGAACAAGAACUCAGGCAGAGAUAUCAUGUUGGUUUCCCUGAUCAGUUGAUUUAGUGCCAGAAGACUCAUGCCUGUGCUCCUCUUGACCUUUGGACUUGGCAUCUUCAGACUUUUUCUCCGGGGGUGCAUUACUACCUCCUGUGCCACAAAGUAUGCAAGGAUUUGAAGGUCUUGGAGAGCACCAAUUUUCUGGAACACUUAGGAAAUGUGUGUCGAUAAACUUUCUAAAUCUCUUUUUAUACUCCCUUGGAGAGAGUACAGUAGGAAGCUGAUUCUUGGGGACCACAAGAGAGGAUUUGACCCAAUUUUCAAGUUGCUUGUCCCAUGUAUACUGCCUGAGAUAGUCAAUGAUGCCACAAACAAGUUCACGGCGCUGAGUAUCCACGCCAACAAGUAAAGAGUAGUCCAUCACAUUGACCGACUGUUAUUCAGAAAAUGCUACCAUUUUAGAAGCUAAGCUAUAAAAUUGUAGUACAUGUUUAUCAUAAGCACAAGUCACAAGCAUUUUAGCACUACUAGGAUUUAGUAAAUAUGGCUACAGGUAAUUCAUCAGUAGGAGUUCAUGCAAAACUUACAUUGAGGAAACCACAGUCAUUCCAUACAGCUCGUUGCAAGUUCCUCUUUGAUCUCAUACCAACAUAUAAAGGAGAGAUGUUCAUGUCAUUCACAAAAUUUUGGUCCAAAAGAACAUCUCCUGCACUAUUGCCAGCUGAAUUGAAUCGUGCAUGCAGAGCUCCUUUUAGAUCAUACUGCCUAGUAAUAUUUCUUCCAAAUGAAAGGUUCUCCAUUACCAUGAGAUCAUGCCUCAUCUCUUUCCCAUUUUUUGUUGGCCUUACAAUGACCUGCAAAAACAUAAAUACUGAGACAAAAGUCCAAAAAGAGCAUGUCUACUGUGCUGGCAAGUUGAAGAUCAGUUUUGUGCUAAAGCCAGAAAUGAAGUUAUAGUUGAUUGAUUGAUAAACCUGAUAAAUACCAAAAACUUUUGCGAGGCAGGUGUGAUUGCCCUUUCCGUAGCACUGUUCCAUGUACUCAAAAUAAUUAGGACCAAACUUCAAGAACGAAUCAAAUUCUGUUCUCUGUAUUUCCUUGAUGAUAAACCGGUCAUCGAGAGUUUUGGCAAACAAAGAUUUACUUUUCCCGCCUUUAGCAUCCCACUUCCUACACCUACUUAGUGAAGCAAUAUAAUCAAUUUCAGAUGGGCAACAUCGACCUCGCAAAUGAGAGAAUUCGCUAGCAUAGAGACAGAUAACUGAGUAUUUACGCUUCCCAGGCAAUUUCCCAGAACCCAUGGAGACUUCAGGGUGAUAAGUAGAGAAAGAAACUGAGGAAUUUAACAUAUCUAACCCAUUAAAACUUGAUGAACGUAUUUGUUCUGAAACAUGAGCAGACUGAAUCCCUUCAAAAUCCAAAGAACUGCUUGAGAAAUGAGGAGGAGCAAGUGAGAAUAAUCGCAUUAAGCCUUGAGAACUUUCAUUUGCCUUUUCAUCAGUUCCUCUAUCUUUUCUUCCAUCGUCUCCAAGAUCUUCACACACAACGGCUAAAUCCUUCAGCGAUGCUAAAGCGCAAGCGAUGAUGCUAGAAAAUUCAUUUUCAUAAUCAGACACAAUGUACUUAUCACUUCUGAGGGGAAUAUGCAGCCUUGCACCCUCAUCAGUAACAAGUUUAUAAGCUGUAGUUUCUACAGCAUGGGUUGUGAUGGAUCCUAAUUUUGGCAGGUAACCUCUCUGCAGAUCCUUCAUGUAUUCAUGCCGAAUUUCAGGAAAUGGAGCCCACCACCCCUUAUCAUUUUCAAUAUUGGACAAUAGUGAGGCAAGGGAUCUACUCCUUUGAGGAUUCAUAAUACCAUUUGCAGUCCUCGCAUCAGCUCUAGAAAGAUUCGGUUUUUCCAACUGCAAAUGCGUAGAAAGAUUGGAUUGUAGAUUAUUUUCAUCAACAGAGUGUAAGCAAUUAAAUUUCACUGCAGAAUCCUCAAUGGAUGAUCCAUUUCCAGUUAUUUUUGCUGCAGUUGAUAACUCAGUAACUUCACUGAAGGCAGAUGAAUUCAAUGGUCCAUUUUGUUCUGUAAAUCCACUAACAUUAGCAUCAACAGGAACUUCUACAAUUAAAGAACCAUUUGCUUCGGUAGAUACCAAAUUCAAUUUCACAUCACAAUUAUGGUUCAAAUAUUCACCACAACUUUCUCUAAUAGUUUCCAUCCCAUUGUUUUCCUCUGCAGAAGAAUCCGCAGCAAACUCAAUAUUCAGAUCAUGACAAUCUUCCAAAUCUUUGUCACCUCUUCCCAGAUUUGCUUCUGCCCCACUAGCAUCUCCUUCGACACUGCACUUUCCUUGUUGCUCCUUGUGGCUAAUAGGUUCAAUAUCUGGCAGUGUUGAUUGUUUUGGAUUAAUGGCUUUGGAAUCACCAUCUAUAUUAUAAGAAGAUAGCAGUGAAUGAAGACGGCGAUCCCAC
Molecule: long non-coding RNA, 3358 nt
Filed under: Capsicum annuum
Lineage: Eukaryota; Viridiplantae; Streptophyta; Magnoliopsida; Solanales; Solanaceae
Description: long non-coding RNA (CANN_LNC006915)
Source: RNAcentral